GAUGAACGCUCGCUACAGGCUUAACACAUGCAAGUCGAGGGGAAACGGCAUUAAGUGCUUGCACUUUUUGGACGUCGACCGGCGCACGGGUGAGUAACGCGUAUCCAACCUUCCCAUGACUAAGGGAUAACCUGCCGAAAGUCAGACUAAUACCUUAUGGUCUUCACUGACGGCAUCAGAUGUGAAGUAAAGAUUUAUCGGUUAUGGAUGGGGAUGCGUCUGAUUAGCUUGUUGGCGGGGUAACGGCCCACCAAGGCAACGAUCAGUAGGGGUUCUGAGAGGAAGGUCCCCCACAUUGGAACUGAGACACGGUCCAAACUCCUACGGGAGGCAGCAGUGAGGAAGAUUGGUCAAUGGGCGAGAGCCUGAACCAGCCAAGUAGCGUGCAGGAUGACGGCCCUAUGGGUUGUAAACUGCUUUUGUAUGGGGAUAAAGUCAAUCACGUGUGAUUGUUUGCAGGUACCAUACGAGUAAGGACCGGCUAAUUCCGUG
Molecule: ribosomal RNA, 492 nt
Filed under: uncultured bacterium
Lineage: Bacteria
Description: partial 16S ribosomal RNA
Rfam family: Bacterial small subunit ribosomal RNA
Source: RNAcentral